CAGUCGCCGCGGGAAUACGAAGGGUGCAAGCGUUAAUCGGAAUUACUGGGCGUAAAGCGUGCGUAGGCGGUUUGUUAAGCCUGUUGUGAAAUCCCCGGGCUCAACCUGGGAAUGGCAAUGGAUACUGGCAAGCUAGAGUGUGUCAGAGGAUGGUGGAAUUCCCGGCGUAGCAGUGAAAUGCGUAGAGAUCGGAAGGAACAUCUGUGGCGAAGGCGACUAUCUGGGCCAACACUGACACUGAGGCACGAAAGCGUGGGGAGCAAACAGGAUUAGAGACCCGCGUAGUCCCUGUCUCUUAUAC
Molecule: ribosomal RNA, 301 nt
Filed under: uncultured bacterium
Lineage: Bacteria
Description: partial 16S ribosomal RNA
Rfam family: Bacterial small subunit ribosomal RNA
Source: RNAcentral